RNAcentral lists this small nuclear RNA (302 nucleotides) under Propithecus coquereli (Coquerel's sifaka). Its description in RNAcentral is "7SK RNA (ENSPCOG00000003788.1)". It matches the Rfam family "7SK RNA". Rfam says of the family: 7SK was discovered as an abundant small nuclear RNA in the mid-70s but a possible function has only recently been suggested. The record is from Rfam by way of RNAcentral. Lineage: Eukaryota; Metazoa; Chordata; Mammalia; Primates; Indriidae.
GGGUGUGAGGGUGAUCUGGCUGCUACAUCUGUCACCCCCAUUGAUCAACAGGGUUGAUUCGGCUGAUCUGGCUGGCUAGGCAGAUGUCCCUUUCCUCUCUCACCACUCCAUGUGCAUCCCUCCCAAAGCUGUGCACGUGGUCAAAGAGGACGACCUUCCCCAAUAGAGUAGGACUGUUCUUCAGUCAAGGGUAUAGGAGUAGCUGCGCUCCCCUGCUAGAACCUCCAAACAAGCUCUCAAGAGCCUUCUGACAUGAUAGCUUCUCAGCAAAGGAAUGGCCUACAUUGGAAACUACUGAGUUC